Long non-coding RNA from Cyprinus carpio carpio, 806 nucleotides. NCBI's taxonomy places the organism in Eukaryota, Metazoa, Chordata, Actinopteri, Cypriniformes, Cyprinidae. The record is from Ensembl.
CUAUACUUCACUGCUCAAUUAUUGAUUUACAGCAGGCUUAUAAAAGUAUCGAAACUGGAUUGUUCAGAAGAAUUUGGAAAACAACUGAUGUAGAGAGGUGGCCUGCUGCUCCUUGAGAGGCUCUCCUGGGUGUCCCGUUCAGCCCUGGCACCCUGUGUUCCUCUCUUUAGAUCCGGGCCUGUGCCAUCUGCCUCUGUCACUGCCGCUGCUGGGCACUGGGAGUCAGUGUGCAUGAGGCAGCCCUCUUCUGCUGCAAGAAGUCAACACACGCUGUGGCCGCUGCAGCUUUUCAGCCGAUGAACAGAGAGCCAUGCCCCCAACCCACACCAUUGUUGUUAUGUUGUGCUGAUCGGGAUGCUCAAGCAAACAUGUUUUCACAACACCACAAAUACUUUUCAGACACAGUUGCAUUCUCUCAACAAAAAAGCUUGCCACUCUGGAUUCAAACAAAACUUGCUAAAAAUUUUUGUUCACAAUAACAGCCGACCGGUAAAAGUUACUAACAGGUCGAUGUACUAGUGCAGAAAGGUAAUGAAACUGGGUUCACCUCGGCACUCUCACUUGGGAGGGUCCUCUUCGUCUGCUGUCUGCACAGAUGAGAGCUUUAGGCUAAAUCUCUGCUCCGGAGGGUGACACUCUUCAGCUCUUUGCCACUAUAAUGGCAGGACUCAAGCCAGAUAAUGAUGCUGACAGCCCAACUGUCAGUCUGCCUCUUCCUGCAGCAGCCCCUUAAGAGCUCAACGUGGGACACUGGCCAUGAAUCCGUGAGACUGCUGCAUUUUCAAAAGUCAUUAAUCUAAACAAAG